RNAcentral lists this ribosomal RNA (497 nucleotides) under uncultured bacterium. RNAcentral describes it as "partial 16S ribosomal RNA". It matches the Rfam family "Bacterial small subunit ribosomal RNA", at positions 28 to 507 of the family's 1533-position model. The record is from RNAcentral.
GACGAACGCUGGCGGCGUGCCUAAUACAUGCAAGUUGAGCGCUGAAGGUUGGUACUUGUACCAACUGGAUGAGCAGCGCACGGGUGAGUAACGCGUGGGGAAUCUGCCUUUGAGCGGGGGACAACAUUUGGAAACGAAUGCUAAUACCGCAUAAAAACUUUAAACACAAGUUUUAAGUUUGAAAGAUGCAAUUGCAUCACUCAAAGAUGAUCCCGCGUUGUAUUAGCUAGUUGGUGAGGUAAAGGCUCACCAAGGCGAUGAUACAUAGCCGACCUGAGAGGGUGAUCGGCCACAUUGGGACUGAGACACGGCCCAAACUCCUACGGGAGGCAGCAGUAGGGAAUCGUCGGCAAUGGACGAAAGUCUGACCGAGCAACGCCGCGUGAGUGAAGAAGGUUGUCGGAUCGUAAAACUCUGUUGGUAGAGAAGAACGUUGGUGAGAGUGGAAAGCUCAUCAAGUGACGGUAACUACCCAGAAAGGGACGGCUAACUACGUG